Molecule: ribosomal RNA, 119 nt
Organism: Oncorhynchus tshawytscha (Chinook salmon)
Lineage: Eukaryota; Metazoa; Chordata; Actinopteri; Salmoniformes; Salmonidae
Source: Ensembl
GCUUACGACCACACCGGCCUGAGUACGCCUGAUCUCGUCUGAUCUCGGAAGCUAAGCAGGGUCGGGCCUGGUUAGUACUUGGAUGGGAGACUUCCUGGGAAUACCAGGUGCUGUAAGCU